GUCUUGUCUAAAUUACGUGCCAGCAGACGCGGUAAUACGUAGAAGACUAGUGUUAUUCAUCUUUAAUGGGUUUAAAGGGUACCUAGACGGAAAAUCAAGCCAAAUAAAGGGACUAAUAUUCUAGAGUUUUAUAAAAGAAGAUGGAAUUUUCGGAGUAGAGUUGAAAUUCAGUUAUACCGUGAAGACUGGUAACGGCGAAGGCAAUCUUCUAUGUAAAAACUGACGUUGAGGGACGAAGCCUAGGGUAACGAUAAGGAUUAGAGACCCUAAUAGUCCUAGGAGAAAAUUAUGAAUGUCAUAAGCUAGAUUAUUUUAGUUUAUAAAUGAAAGUGUAAGCAUUCCACCUCAUGAGUAAAGCGGCAACGCUCAAAUUGAAAUCAUUAGACCGUUUCUGAAACCAGUAGUGAAGUAUGUUAUUUAAUUCGAUGAUCCGCGAAUAACCUUACCACAAUUUGAAUAUUUUACAAGUGCUGCACGGCUGUCUUUAGCUAAUGUCGUGAGAUUUGGUUAACUCCUCUAAUUAGCGCAAGCCCUUGCUUUAUUUAUUUUUUUCAUAAAGUAGUUCACCAAUAUAUCAG
Molecule: ribosomal RNA, 578 nt
Filed under: Chaetothyriales sp. A861
Lineage: Eukaryota; Fungi; Ascomycota; Eurotiomycetes; Chaetothyriales
Description: SSU rRNA
Rfam family: Bacterial small subunit ribosomal RNA
Source: RNAcentral